Long non-coding RNA from Salvia splendens (bonfire salvia), 1936 nucleotides. RefSeq lists it as uncharacterized. NCBI's taxonomy places the organism in Eukaryota, Viridiplantae, Streptophyta, Magnoliopsida, Lamiales, Lamiaceae. The transcript is spliced from 3 exons. The record is from RefSeq and is a predicted model, not a curated record.
CAUCCCAUCCCAUCCCCUCUUUUCAACCCUACCCUCAUUUUACCAUCGUUCUCUCUUUCUCCUCCAAUCUGCUCAAUUAUUUAGUCAACAACCAUAACACAAUCAAUAGGCAAAAUGUCACUGAGCCCGGAUCUCAGCCAUCGUCACCGGCGGAGCUGCCGGAAUCGGCCGAGCACUGGUGCUAGCUCUCGCACAGAAAGGAAUUUUCAUCACAAUCAUUGAUUUUUCUCAAGGCAAAGGCAUACAGGCGGAAUAAGAACUUCGCAAGUUUCACACCGACCUCAAAUUUCCGCCGGUGCUGUUCUUCAGGAGCGACGUCUCCAAUUCAAAUGAACUCGCGGGGGCUUUCCGUAAGCACGUGGACACUUACGGAGGAUUGGAUAUCUGUAUCAAAUCUGCUGGAAUCAGAUUGAAGGCUUUAAAUCUUGGAGGCGUGCAGUUGAUAUCAAUUUUGUUGCAGUGAUUGAAUCCACAUGUCGGGAGGUUUCCUUGUUGAGCUUUUUGGUUGUAUUUUCUGCGUUGAAGCUGCUGUAACUUCAAAUUAAGAUGAAAAUUUGUCCUCCUUCAGUUUUGUUUAGUGUUUUCUUAUCGUAAUAUGUUGCACCUAAUGAUUAUAUGAUAUCUUUCUCUCAGAUGACUGCUCAAAUACCUUUGAAAUAUUUCAUUUGGUAAUGUACUAGUGACUAGUGAGGCAUACACUCAUUUUAGCUAAGUGUUGAAUUUUAUGAUUGUUUUGUCAAUUUCAUAUUCAUCCUGAUCCUCACAUUCACCUUUGGAUAAGGAUAAUAUAUCAUUCCGCUUACACCAAGCAAGAGGAUUCUAGUGAAACGCUACCUUGGCCUUUGAUCGUAAUUAUCAGUUGUGCACCCUGGUCUUGUUUACAGGUAGCCUUGUAGCUAGUUGCAAGCAGUGGCAGAGAUGGAAGAGUGUUUAUGUUAGUUGAACAGAUAAUCCCUCAAGCAGCUUGCUCUAGGCAUGGUUGGCUGUGGGUGCUUUUUGUGUAUGGCUUGUGCACAUUUUGAUGAUCAUUUGCCACCCGAUUACUUACCCUAUUGAAAAGCCUAUGAAAUUGAUCAAACGGAAGACGUGAUGAUGCUGAGUUGGUUCAAAAAAGGAAAGAAUGAGGACGGAGGAUACAUGAAGGAUAGGCUGCCGGAAGAUUACUGCUGCCGCAUUUGCUUUGAUGACUUCCACAUUCUAUGUCGGACUAACUGUGGCCAUUGGUUUUGUGGCAAGUCUUUCUCUUUCUGCAUUUCUUUCUUCCCUCUUUCUUUUCAACUUCAACUUGAAAUGAAGAAAUUGGAGUCUUAAAUUUGUGGGUUUUGGUUUCUUGUUGCCUCUGCAUAAAAAAGAAAUGCUGCUUCUGUUUAUCAAUAUUUGAUUAAAUGUGGGAGGAAAUGAAUAGAUUAAAUGUGUUUUUUGGCUAAAUUUCUAUCAAUCAAGAAUCAAGAUGGAGAUAAAAGAUUAUAAACAAUACUCUGUUUUACACUAUGUGUCUCCUAAUUAUGUUUUUCCUUUCCAAAUGGUUUAUUCUGUUGAUUAAAUGCAAUCAUUUCAUCCUCAAGAACACCUACUUAUGGGAUUACAUAUGAUCUUUGUCCUAUUGCAGUAGCCUGCCUUCUUCUACUGUCAAUAUUCAUGGAAAAUUUCCAGUAUUUCAAGUGUCCUAUGUGUCGAUCCUUGAUAUCUAAUCUGGUUCCUCAUUCAUAUGUAUAGUUCAGCCAGGAAGACAAGUUCGCAAGAUACUCAGAGAGCUCAAGCGAUACAAUUAGUUCAAGUACUUUUGUUUAGUUUUCUGUAAAAGUAAAUAUUGGUGUAUGUUGCUUUUACAUUCAUAUGUCAUGCCUUGACAUGUUUCCUCUAGAUGGAUGUAAUGAAAUUGAAUGGAUAACUGCUAACUGUUAUUUGCUAAUACAAGUCUCAUUGCCAUUUGACA